Molecule: ribosomal RNA, 464 nt
Filed under: uncultured bacterium
Lineage: Bacteria
Description: bacterial SSU rRNA
Rfam family: Bacterial small subunit ribosomal RNA
Source: RNAcentral
ACCAGACUCCUACGGGAGGCAGCAGUGAGGAAUAUUGGUCAAUGGUCGGGAGACUGAACCAGCCAAGCCGCGUGAGGGAGGAAGGUACAGAGUAUCGUAAACCUCUUUUGUCAGGGAACAAAGACUGGGACGCGUCCCCGGAUGAGUGUACCUGAAGAAAAAGCAUCGGCUAACUCCGUGCCAGCAGCCGCGGUAAUACGGAGGAUGCGAGCGUUAUCCGGAUUUAUUGGGUUUAAAGGGUGCGCAGGCGGAGGUGCAAGUCAGUGGUCAAAUUGCGGGGCUCAACCCCGUACUGCCGUUGAAACUGCAUCCCUUGAGUGCGCGAGAAGUAUGCGGAAUGCGUGGUGUAGCGGUGAAAUGCAUAGAUAUCACGCAGAACUCCGAUUGCGAGGGCAGCAUACCGGCGCUCAACUGACGCUGAAGCACGAAGGCGUGGGUAUCGAACAGGAUUAGAUACCCCAGUA